Transfer RNA from Talaromyces islandicus, 72 nucleotides. It matches the Rfam family "tRNA". From Rfam's summary of the family: Transfer RNA (tRNA) molecules are approximately 80 nucleotides in length. Their secondary structure includes four short double-helical elements and three loops (D, anti-codon, and T loops). Lineage: Eukaryota; Fungi; Ascomycota; Eurotiomycetes; Eurotiales; Trichocomaceae. The record is from Rfam.
GGCCUCGUGGCGCAAUGGUAGCGCGUCAGUUUUCGGCACUGAAAGUUGUGCGUUCGAGUCGCACCGUGGUCG